Paramisgurnus dabryanus is the source of this 348-nucleotide long non-coding RNA. RefSeq lists it as uncharacterized. The record is from RefSeq and is a predicted model, not a curated record. Lineage: Eukaryota; Metazoa; Chordata; Actinopteri; Cypriniformes; Cobitidae.
CCUCACCCUGCCUACUGCACUACUGCUUAUAAGUGAAAUACUUUGUCUUCAUGAGAUCUAUUCCUCUCCGUUUUUACAUUUUCAACAGCGUGACACCACACCAAAACAACACACACUGGUCUCUGGUCUGUGUUGAGAAGUUCAGUCAACAUGACAAUAGAGUGGCAUUUCCACUCCCACACCAUACGCCAGAAGUCCUGCAAUGUGUGAGCCAAAGGCGCCUGAGUUGCAAUGAAGUAAUCCUUCUGCCUGUAACCCUGCACAGACCCACUCGGUCCAUACGUGCGUGUGUGUUGUGCAGUUUGUGGAGGUGUCCUUCCAGCGAGGCGAUGUCUAACUCGGUGUCAC